This 253-nucleotide ribosomal RNA is filed under the name uncultured bacterium. RNAcentral describes it as "partial 16S ribosomal RNA". It matches the Rfam family "Bacterial small subunit ribosomal RNA", at positions 524 to 776 of the family's 1533-position model. The record is from RNAcentral.
UACGUAGGAGGCGAGCGUUGUCCGGAAUUAUUGGGCGUAAAGAGCUUGUAGGCGGUUUGUCGCGUCUGCCGUGAAAAUCCGGGGCUCAACCCCGGACUUGCGGUGGGUACGGGCAGACUAGAGUGUGGUAGGGGAGACUGGAAUUCCUGGUGUAGUGGUGAAAUACGUAGAUAUCAGGAGGAACAUCGGUGGCGAAGGCGGCUAUCUGGCCAUGUACUGACACUGAGAUACGAAAGCGUGGGGAGCAAACAGG